Lolium perenne is the source of this 1195-nucleotide RNA transcript. RefSeq lists it as uncharacterized. NCBI's taxonomy places the organism in Eukaryota, Viridiplantae, Streptophyta, Magnoliopsida, Poales, Poaceae. The record is from RefSeq and is a predicted model, not a curated record.
CCAAGUAAUCAACUUAACCUGAGAAAAUAGGUGUUUGUUGAGCUCCAAGAUGGCAAUGACCCUCGUCACCAUGAAGCUCCUUAUCGAUUCCAGCCCGCCACGCCCGCGCGUGGUGUUCGCGGAGGCCCACAAAGACGCUGUCGACUUCCUCUUUUCCCUCCUCACCAUGCCAUCCGGCACGGCCGUGAAGCUACUGGGAAAGGAUUCCAUGGUUGGCUGCAUCGGCAACCUCUACACCAGCGUCGAGAAACUUGAUGAUCCCUAUGUACAGCCCGGCGCUGCUAAGGACGCCAUGCUAAGUCCUACCGUGUUGUCCCUUGGAGCGAAGUCCAACAGAACUUUCUUCCGCUUGCCGGAGCCAUCCCCGGCCAUGAAAAGAUUCUUCAGAUGCAGCGGCUAUACCUACUCCAGCUGCCGCAACUACGUUACGGAAGAGAGAGGUGCUCGGUGCCCGAUGUGUGGAAACCAGAUGUUGGCGGAUUCCCAGUAUGUGCCGUCUGAGCCUGUGACCCAAGAAGCGAAAGGGUUAGUGCAGGGUGGCAUGGUGACAUACACGGUGACAGAUGACCUAAAGAUAUUUCCCAUGUCAAACAUCUCCAGCAUUGCGCUGCUCAACACCGUCGCGGUGAGGGACCUAGGUGCGCUCCAAGAGAGGACUGUGCAGAUCGGGUACAAGGAGGGUGUGGAGAUUCUCAAGACCUCGCUACAGUCCAAAACUGUCCUAACUGAUGUUUUCCUUGGCAAGAAGACUUAACUUCGUUGAACAACGGCUGAUGAUUUGAAUCCCUCAGAUAGCGUGCUUGAGCUAGCCUUGAAUCGUAUGGACGUGUACGUAGCUUGGCCUAUGUUGCUAGCUAGCUUCAAUAAUCAGGGUUUGGAGAUUCUCAAGACCUCGCUACAGUCCAAAACCAUCCUAACUGAUGUUUUCCUUGGCAAGAAGACUUAACUUCGUUGAAGAACGUACGGCUGAUGAUUUGAAUCCCUUAGAUAGCAUGCUUGAAUCGUAUGGACGUGUACAUAGCUUGGUAUUUGUUUCUAGCUAGCUUUAAUAAUCAGGUUGUUACGUCCUUUCUUCGUGCUUGUACUACAUUUUUUUCGAGGGAUUCGUGCUUGUACUACUAACGUUACUAUAUAUGCAUGUUUCUAGUACUAUUAGCUGGCAAGUAGAUCUUGCUUGCUCGUCUUCUGAUCUGCA